CAGAAGCAGAGAUGCGAAUCUCUACAACCCUUUGUGAACCUAUAUCGUGUGUUGCUCCCGGCGGGCAGCCCCUGGGAGGGGCCGCGGCCUCCGCGAGGAGGUGCCCGCCGGCGGGCCCCCAAACUCUUGUCGUGUGUCCACUCUGAGCGAAGCGAGAAAAUAGUCA
RNAcentral lists this unclassified non-coding RNA (166 nucleotides) under uncultured fungus. RNAcentral describes it as "sequence contains ITS1, 5.8S rRNA gene". Lineage: Eukaryota; Fungi. The record is from RNAcentral.